AUAAGGCAGAAAGGUUCCAUAGCAGGUUUAACAUGGUUUAAACUGAGCUGAAUCAUCACAGUCGGGUUAUUAAAUAAAACAAUUUUAUAAUUAAAAAUGAAAAAUUCAUAAUUUCAAUAUGUUUUUGUGUUCAAUGACGUAACCGAGCAUCAUCUAGUUGGCCUUGAUCUCCUGCUCAGACAUCGAUUACUUUAGUCUGCGCCCGUGCGGAGGGGGCGGGGCUGCACCUUCAUCCAGACGCUCCAGUAUCUCUGAGGAAACCGCUCUUUAACGGCCUUAACUUUUCCUGAGGGCAGGUAGUGGAUGUUUGUACUGAAGCAGUGUUGGGACAAGUGGAGCCGUCAGAGCCAAGUAGACCUUUGGUGGAGUUUAAAAUAAGCUCCUGCGCCGUGGCCGCUCCGUUGUUUUAAGCAUACCUGCCAAUUAGCGGCCAAUUAGCCAAUUAGCGGUAUAUUUUUGCCCUUGAGUUGCAUCAUUGACUCUUUUUAAACGUCGUUUCGUAUCGGGGCAGAGAAGCAUGGAAACCCAGCGCAUCGUGUGUGAACCUGGAGUUGGGCCGCCGACAUUCAGCACUUUGUUGAAAAAGUUGUCUCCGCCUGCACCACAGCUUCCACAGCCACAGGAGAGUGUGCUGGAGCCUUCGUACCAAGCGGAGGAGUCCGGCUCCGCAGGCCGCCCCGUUCCUAUAGUGCUCCACUUCAAGAACAAGGAGGUUCCCAAAAAGGUGUGCUUCAAAUAUGACGUGUUUCUCAGGCUCAAUCACCAGUCGAACACCUGCGAUGUGAAAGAUCAGGGACUUCAGAUGAAAGGCUGGUCAAAGCUGGAGGAGUACUGGUGGAUCCAGGAGGGGGUGGAGUUGACUGUGGGGACGGACCAGUAGAGUCCACAGCUGCAGAGGAAGGAAUCUGUCCAGAUACAGAUGCUCAUCUAUUCACUGUUCACUCUGCUCCUCCUCCCAACGCCACUGACAGAGUUCUUGUGACUUUUGACCACUCAUCUAUGGCACGAGGGCCUGUUUUCUCUGGUAUAAACAGGUGCUUUAGGGUGUGAGGCAGGAGACACACACCCUGUAAUGUUGUCCAAUGUGUAUCAGGUUUUUUUCCCGACAGACUCCAGACCAGAACAGCAGCUACACCUGGGUUCGUCCUGAGUUCGUCUGAGUAGCAGUGAUUCUAAACCUUCUAAAAAGACCUUCUAGACGAUGCGAUAUUCACCCACACGGUCGUCACGGAACAAUCCUGAAGAAUGUAUGAAAGACAAAGAAGGAAGCUCAUCUCACCGACAUCCCAUCGCUGCUGCAGAUUCGGCCCCCUCACCGCCCGCCGGGACCCCAUGAUUAAUUGGAUAAACGCAGAUGGCGGCGCAUCACAAAGAUAUUUCUGUCACGGCAGCAGUGGAGCCUGAUGCACAAACACAACGUCAGAGGCUCUGGACCGUCGGGUGGAGGCCAGGGUUUGGUUCCAUUCCUGCCACGGAGACAGAAGAGACAAUCGGCCUGUUAAAAGUCCAGCACAGGUGGAGGACGCCGUUUAAAAACAUCCGAGUCCAAACUGCAGCCUUUCAUCCAGAGGACGGACAAGCAAAGCGGCUCCAGGGUCACGUGGCAUCAGGCAAAAAGGAACGACGACGACUAUGUUUGUUAGUUACCCCAAAAACGGAGUCAAUUAUCAUCCAAGGUCAAUUCUAUUGAUUUCUGAGCUGAAUAUAAUAAAGUCAGUGCCUUUAAAUUAUACAGCAGAACCCAACAAAUGACUGGGUGACAGAAGGACCAGUCUCAGGGUCGCAGCUGCUGCAGCUACCGCUUAAUGACCUUAGACUCACCUGAUCAGGCUCAGACAAGAAAGCUGUGAAGAUACAUUUGCAUUAGAUAUAGAGACGUCUGCUUCCAAGUCUGAACCGUGAGCUGCUUCCACAGGAACAAACGUCCAACCACAGGUACCAGGCCUCUGAGGGCAAACACCAACACACUUUCACUCCUCCAUUCUGACAUUAAAUCCUGUCAGAUGAACAGAACUUGGCAUUUUACUGACCUUUUUACCUUUUUAAAAGCCUUUAGGGCCCAUUCACAAUAAAUCUACUGUAUAAACGGCUAUAAACAUCGAUUGUCUUCUGCUUCCUGCCACAACAACCAUUAGCAACCUGAUGAACAGCAUCAUCCGCUAACGUGAGUCUGCAAAGCUGCGUUUCUACAAAUGGUUGUCAUUGUCUUGACUUUUACAAAACCUUGAAAUACACUUAGUUUUAUUUUUGUUAAUUGAUAAAAGCGUUUUCAUCAUUUGCUCCUUCAUCUCAUGCAAGGAGCAGUUAAACAGUCUUCAGAUGAAUCAAGCCUUGAGUCAUGUGACCAGAUCCCAACAGGAGACAGAAGCUCCAGACAAUAAAAACAGCCAUGGCAACGAUAAGUGGCAUGAAGCCUGGUGGAGAUGUUAUUUAUGGUGGAGUCUGGGGUCGGGGGUGAGGGGGUUUAUGGGGGUGAGGUCAGAUUAGUGUUUGCAUGUGCUACACAAACGCCUACUGUGAUGUGUUAAAUUCCAGUUGUUUUUGUCAUUUCAGACCGUCCAGGUACAAAACAAGACCCUGUCGUCAAACAUUACAAACGAAAUAAGGAUUAAAAAAACAUUGAACAUUCAUGGGACCAGAUGACAGAACAUCCCCAUCUCCAGCCUCAGUCACUCCCAGGCAGAAUUUAGAGGACAGGCUGCUUUGUGACCCUCGGAUCACGCUCCGACCGGUCAGACAUCAGGAGUCGCGCAUUCUUCCCACACUGAGGAGGACGGAUCACAGAUCACAGAAACGGAAAAUAACACGGGGACAGUGAAGAUGAGAAUGAGUUGUGUCAUUUCAACAUCAACGAGUAACAAAUUGUGGGAGGCUUUCAUUCCAGACUUUAGUGAAAAGCUACAGGUGUGUUAAGUAUUCAGUAGUAGACUUGAAUAUACUGUUGUUGAGCGCAUCUAAGCACUCGUGACCUUUAACCCCACCGUAGCUUGUGAAUUAAUGAGCGUAAAUCAUGAUUCCCUGCUUGUCUGAUAUGAAUAAUGACCUUUAGUUCAGUCUUUUAGAUAAAUCAAACCUGCAUGUCUGUGUGAUCAUGUCUUCAAAUACGACGUGGAGGGAAUGUUAGGUCUGUUCAUCCGUGUGUUGGUUCAGUGGAGGCCCGUUAUCAGGAGGAGGAGGGCCGUCCUGGAAAUGAUGGCAGCACUGAGCUCGCACACGUUUCAGGAAUGCCAGAAAGGGGGGGGGGGGGUGCAGGGCGUCGGGCCACAAACAUCAGGGGGAACAAGCACUCUUUCAUUUAGACUCAUGCCUCAGGCCCAACGUCUAGACCCUGCGAAGCUGAAGAGGGCAACUGAAAAUAAAUAAACAGAUGUCAAAUAUCAAAUCCAGUUUCAGCUACAAACUAGAAGCACUGGUGAUAAAAGCCAGUGGAUUUAUCUGAAUGCUGAAAUUACAGAGGAGUUAAGGUGCCGCAUUAGAAGGCAGUUUAAGGUUGAGCAUCAUCUCUCAGCACGGCUGCACAUCAGGGAGGAAUCAUUACGUCCGGGUUCUUCAGAACCGACCUGUCCAGUUUAAACCGUGGCCUUUGCUGAUGCGGUGGUUUGCUGCCACGUCAGUGACAUUUUAAGUUAAUGAUCCCAGAAUAUGCAUGACUCCCACCUGUAUAUGUACGAUGCUGAGCUGAGCUGGUGGAGCAGUUCCUCCUGCUGUAAAUAAGCAGAGGCGUCGUUAUGAGGACGGCCCCCUGUUUUUUGUGCACGUUGGCCCACGGACACAUGCAGAUUAGAGCUGCUGCGAAUGAUGAAACCUGUGUGUAACCGCUGGCCGACGGUGACUCAGCUGCGUGGGACAGGCCUCAGGAAACAACAAGUGGUGCCGCGGCGCUGCUCGGCUGGAGGCGCAGUGGCCCGCGGCUGUGACCGAGGCGGGUUGGGUCAGAACACGGUUUAAAACACCAACGCAAAGAGCCCAUGACUGGAGGAGACUGGAGGUUAACGCUGCCUGUGGGUGCGUGAAGUCAUGGCUGCUCGUAUCGUAGGAGCUCAGUGACUGGAAAAGCCAAUAUUGACUCUUUGUUCCCGUCAGCAGCUUGGGAGGUGCAGACACUGUUUGCUCCCUGGUAAAAGCAACAACCCUGGCAGUGGCUGCGUUCACAGUGAAAGUCAGACUUGCACCGGUUCUGCUAACGGCUCGGUGGGCGCUCCAGGCGGCCGUGGUUCUGAUAAGUUCCCAGCAGCUGUCUCUUUGCUCACGGUGUUAUCGCUGCUCAAACAGCUCCGGGCGCCGGCUGUUCUCCAGGGCACACACGUUUCAUGCUCAAACAUUUUACCACACGUACCCGAACAGAGACCUGCCGCUCAUUUGACUUUUAUGUCACAGCGACAAAAAUCAUGUAGCGGGUUCAAAGCGACCCGACCGAAGGCUUCACCGACCACGGCCUGGACUUUACUCGCUCACACUGACGCUCUGCUGUGGUCCUUUUUUCCUGUUCUUAUUAAAUCCAGAUCAAUCAGCAGGAGCCUCCAGGUGAUCAUCAGUGUGUAGUGAUGGGACACAUAGAAAACUGCGACACUGCUACUGCUGCCACUAUAUGUUUAUAAAUGUAGACCGUGGACUGCU
Long non-coding RNA from Betta splendens (Siamese fighting fish), 4617 nucleotides. RefSeq lists it as uncharacterized. Lineage: Eukaryota; Metazoa; Chordata; Actinopteri; Anabantiformes; Osphronemidae. The transcript is spliced from 4 exons. The record is from RefSeq and is a predicted model, not a curated record.